GCACUCCUGAUGAGUCCCAAAAUAGGACGAAACAGUCGUCCAGUGC
Molecule: non-coding RNA, 46 nt
Filed under: Schistosoma margrebowiei
Lineage: Eukaryota; Metazoa; Platyhelminthes; Trematoda; Strigeidida; Schistosomatidae
Source: RNAcentral